This is a long non-coding RNA of Daucus carota subsp. sativus, 1207 nucleotides long. RefSeq lists it as uncharacterized. NCBI's taxonomy places the organism in Eukaryota, Viridiplantae, Streptophyta, Magnoliopsida, Apiales, Apiaceae. The record is from RefSeq and is a predicted model, not a curated record. The transcript is spliced from 2 exons.
UUCACUUUACAUACACUAAUUAAUUAAUAUCAUACAAAAAUGAAAUAUAAUUAAUUAUAUACAAAAUUCGCGACAAUUUUUAUUUCAAUAUGUGUUAUAUAUUAUAUACUAUAUUACAUUAUUUAGUAAUAUUAUAUACAUAUAAAUAAUAUUUUCAAAAAUAUUUGAAGUAAUUAAAAUAUCAAAAUAAUAUUAAAAAUAAAAAACAAAAAGAAAAUACAACACAGUUAACGAGGUGAAAAAAACAAGCGGCAUUAUUUCCCCCAUAUUAAAACACACAGCUUUAGUGACUCGCACCCCCAUCUCAGCUCACCCACUCUCGACUCUCACCCAAAUCUCAGUUGACUCUCGAAUUUCACCCAUUCUCAACUCUCAGCACACACUCGCACUCGCACUCGCACUCUAUCUCAGCUCUCGCUUCGCACUCGCAUUCUGUCCCAGCUGUUGCUUCGCUAAAUCGAAGGAACUUUCGCUUCGUUAAUUAAAGGAUUUUGAGGGUUUCUUCUAAUUAGUGCUUAAGUCGAGCUAAUUAGGUUUUCUACUGACUUGGGUUUUCAUAUUGUAGGUGAUUAGGGCUUUUCAUCGAGGCUGAAAAUCAGGGCUUUUCAUCGAGGUUGGAAAUUAGGGCUUUUCAUCGAGGCUUGAAAUUAGGGCUUCAAUAGUUGAGGUGGAAGGGAUCAUGGGCGAGAAUGGUUAGUGGGGAGGAGUUGUAAAAAAGCUGGUGGAACAUCUACACCUUCUACAGACCCUUAUGAACAGCUGACGAUGACGAUAAAGGAAAGUAUUGAAAGUGAACUGGAAGCCAAGGUCAAUAGAAAUGUUCAGGAGAACAUGACAAUGUUGCUGAAAAAGCUCGAGGAAGCAAAACCUGGUAUGAAGUUGGAUGUCGACAUUCAGGCUACUGUAUCUCGUGACGGUGAUGAUAAUGGAACUCCAAUGACAGCCGGCGAAACUUCUUAGUUGCCUUUGAUUAUCAUCUCAUUAUCAUCAACACAUUUAAGACUAGACUUUGGUAUCUUUAACAUUCUGGUAUUCGUAGUUUAUAACUUUGGAUUACUUUGUUUUGGUAUUAUUGGUAGUUUGGCGUGUUUUGCACAAGUGCGCAAGGUAUUGUCUUUGUCGGAAGGUGUUAUUUUAUAAUUGCUGGUGGAAAGAUCUGGAUGGCUUGUGGUUGGUUUGGUUGCUUAUUUAUUUUGUGGUUGAAAUA